Long non-coding RNA from Pipra filicauda (Wire-tailed manakin), 647 nucleotides. RefSeq lists it as uncharacterized. Lineage: Eukaryota; Metazoa; Chordata; Aves; Passeriformes; Pipridae. The record is from RefSeq and is a predicted model, not a curated record. The transcript is spliced from 5 exons.
CAAAACCUCGGAUUUGUGCUGAUGUUUUUACUUCAGAGCUGAUCCUAAUGUCUUUCUUUUGAAGCAUUUUAGUAUCAGAAGUGUUCAAAUGGCAGACCGAGAAAAGCUGGUACACAGGGAGCCUUGGUACAACUGCUGGCCCACUCUUCAGGCAACUGCUAAUUACAAAAGAAUUCCAUAGGAAGGACUUCCAGGAGAGGACGAGGGUUUCUCAUCUGUGCCAGGGACUCGGCAGGAGCAUGUGAGGAGUGAACUCUGGCCUGCUCAGUCUAUUUAGCAAGCUCUGAGAUGUCUUACAACAUCCCACUGGGAUCUCCAGAGCCCACUUCACUCCUCAGGAAGUGCAGGCAAAGGCAGGAAUGGACUUCCAAUGGGAAUCUGAACUGAGGUGGCUGCAGAGCAACUGCUCCUUCCAUAUCACACCAGGAGUGCCUUUAUCCCACCAACCAACCCUGCUGACAGCCCAGGGAGGAUGGGAAAGGGGCAGCACAUUUCAUGCUGCAGCCCCCCGGAUUUUCUGCUACCCCAUUUGAGCACUCCAGGAAAAUUUUGCUGCAUCACAAGCUGGAAGCACUAAGGAGUUCAGAGAAGUUCUGCUGAAGACCAGGACUGUUGGUUACCUUCUGCCCAAUUAAUCCAGGAAUCAG